This is a long non-coding RNA of Peromyscus eremicus (cactus mouse), 2097 nucleotides long. RefSeq lists it as uncharacterized. The transcript has 2 exons. The record is from RefSeq and is a predicted model, not a curated record. NCBI's taxonomy places the organism in Eukaryota, Metazoa, Chordata, Mammalia, Rodentia, Cricetidae.
GUUACAGUUGUGACAUGUCAUUAUUCAAAGAGAUCAGCGAUCAGAGCAUCUAACUUUAAAGGAGCUGGCAACAGAACUCCAAAAGUAAACAUAGCAAUCAACCCUCCGGGACCAGAAGAGCAAGCAAGAGCUUGUUUCUUUUCCUUCCUGAGGCAAACCAAGGGAUGGCUGGCUCCCUGUGGGAAAAACAGGUCUCCACUUCUGAUCAUGAUCUGAAGGAGCAGGAGGCUGGCUGGGCUGGGGCAGGGCGUAGCUCAGCAGUGGAGCGCUUACCUAACUUGUGGAAGGCCCUGGAUUCCACCCCUAGCACCAAAGAAAGAAUUUACCAGGUUAGAGACAAGGGCCUGGUCACACUUUCCGUGUGUAACAACUGUUACACAAACUCACACGCCAUAGUGGAAAUGAAUCCAGCGCCUGACGCCAUCUUCAGCCUGACGCCAUCUUCAGGGACUGUGCCCAUAAGCCCUUGCUCUCGCCACACCCCCAGAACACUCAAGAUCUGACCUACCUACCAGAGGAAGUUGAAGAAAAUACUGGAAAGGAAGUAAAGGAAGUGAACACACGUUCUAGCUCUCCUUCGGGAAGGUUCUAGAAUUAAUUCUACCCCUUCAAGGUUGGGGAAAUCCAACCUAAAAUCCCCUCUUUCCCUCUCAGUCGACUUCCUCCUCCUCUCUCUCUUCCCCUGCCUUUGUGGCCUUUGUGGUGUUCUUAAUGUUAGAUAUCUCUUCAUCCUUUCCCCUUCUCCUCCCCUGAGGCCCCCUCUCGAUAGUCCAGCAGUAAGCCCAGUACACAGGCCCUGGCAAACACAGAUGACCGCACUGCAGGGCCAGGACUAAACGGAGCAGAGGGAAGUGGCAGAUCCCAUUUUCAACAUGUUGAGAUGGACGGAUGUGGCAGCAAGAGGAUCAGGAACAAGCUUGGGGAAGGACGCGUCCAUCAAAUUCUGUAUGGUCAGCUCUACCAAUCAGCUGGCUGAGGUCUCUUUGCUGUACUCGGAAGUCACAACUAGGAAAGGAAGAGGUCUUCUAAUUUUGGCCAACCAGGGUUCUUCAAUACCGAGAGCUUAUGGGCUAGACAGACAGACGCAGAAGCUUGUAGCUGCUGAGAACUAGAGGCUUCUUCUGGCUCCAGGCUACAGGGGAAGACUUAUGUUUCUAAGUGUUCAGGUUGCAGGCAAAUUGCUCUGAGCUUUGAUUGCCAGUGGCCUGGCAUUUGGUAGCUAACACAAUCCUGGACUCCUAGCAGCAGCAGACAGCAGUAGCCAUUGGGACCAGUUAGCACCAUCAUUCCCAAGCCAUGGAUGCUGGGACCCACAGCUCAUCACAGCAGCUAAUGCUACAGCUCUUGAGCCUUGUGUGUUGGGCCCUUGGUCCUGCUGUUACAGCUCACGAACCUUGGGUGUCAGAAUGCAGAGCACACAGUCCCCUGGCUUUAGCUCUCCACAGCCUCCUUCCUACUUGGACCACACUUUAUCCCCUCUGCAGUCUCUGCCCCAAUCCCUUCUCGGGAACUAUUUGUUCGGGUGCCCCCUUGCCACUGUGGCUGCCGUUUUAUAUUUACUGUUCCGCUCUGCGUUAUCAUCUCAGCCCUCUCUACUUGUGAUAAAAAUCAAAAGUAGACAAAGAAGAAGCAUUUGGAAGGCUUUCUUGGGCCAGAUGCUACACUACUAAAAAGAACAGGAAGGUGUUCCCUAGCUGACUGGAAAAAUAAGCUGAAAAAUAAGUCAUACUGUCAGAAGGGGGUGGGGUAGCGUGCUCACACUGAUGCAAGCCUUCGGCCGGGUCGCUGUGGGAAGUGCUCCCUGUUCUGCCUAGGUGAAAAUGGGUACAGAGUGACCUGGAGUUUGUCAAGGCUUGUCUUGCUUAGAAUGCUGCUUCCUAAAGCCAGGGCAGGCUGUCUGGAGUGGUCGUGACUGAACCAUGUCUUCAGCCACAGCUAUUAGGAUUGUUCACAGAGCGAUUGUAAAGUGUCCAAAUUAGCCAGGAAACAGUGAGGGCUAUCUGUCCAGUGAUCAGGAAAGGAGGUAUGUGGCUGGCAGUUCCCUGCUCAGGUCUGCCGGGAAUAAAGGGUCUGUCUGCUGACAUCCAAGGACCUGAA